RNAcentral lists this ribosomal RNA (497 nucleotides) under uncultured bacterium. RNAcentral's name for it is "partial 16S ribosomal RNA". It matches the Rfam family "Bacterial small subunit ribosomal RNA", at positions 28 to 507 of the family's 1533-position model. The record is from RNAcentral.
GACGAACGCUGGCGGCGUGCCUAAUACAUGCAAGUUGAGCGAUGAAGCUUGGUGCUUGCACCAAUUUGAAGAGCAGCGAACGGGUGAGUAACGCGUGGGGAAUCUGCCUUUGAGCGGGGGACAACAUUUGGAAACGAAUGCUAAUACCGCAUAACAACUUUAAACAUAAGUUUUAAGUUUGAAAGAUGCAAUUGCAUCAUUCAAAGAUGAUCCCGCGUUGUAUUAGCUAGUUGGUGAGGUAAAGGCUCACCAAGGCGAUGAUACAUAGCCGACCUGAGAGGGUGAUCGGCCACAUUGGGACUGAGACACGGCCCAAACUCCUACGGGAGGCAGCAGUAGGGAAUCUUCGGCAAUGGACGAAAGUCUGACCGAGCAACGCCGCGUGAGUGAAGAAGGUUUUCGGAUCGUAAAACUCUGUUGGUAGAGAAGAACGUUGGUGAGAGUGGAAAGCUCAUCAAGUGACGGUAACUACCCAGAAAGGGACGGCUAACUACGUG